CAUCAACAUAGAAUUAGUAAUUUAAAACAUCAUGAACAUCAACAUAUUAUUUCUUCAUUUAACUACACAACUUUUCAAUGCCUCUCAUUAAUUCUAUCACAACUCGAUAACACGACAAUGCUUCGUCGACUUAGAUAACAUGACUCCAACUUAAACAACUUAGACGACUUGACUAUGCGGCGUGCAUGUGGUACCAAUCAGGGCAUCAAGCCCCCAACAAAUUUUGAGCGUAGGCUCACAGGGCAUCAAGCCCCCAACGGGUUUGAGCAUAGGCUCACAGGGCAUCAAGCCCCCAACGGGUUUGAGCAUAAGCUCACAGGGCAUCAAGCCCUCAACUUUAAUGCAUAUGUGGACUCUGUAAAAUGCCAAGACAACCAGCAACUUAAUCAACUUAGACAACUUCUUACAACUCAUAUGACCUUGACUCGACGACAAGGAUUCUACUCCACAACAUCCUAAUUCAUCAUACAACUUCGUAAAUUCAUAUAAAAUUAUUCACAAGGAAUUUUUGUAUCAAACCNNNNNNNNNNNNCAAUUCUGUACCGAUCAGUACCGGAUUUUAUUUCCAAUUCGGGUACAGAGGCUGAAGUUUCACUGUGACCUACGUGCAGUAAUUUGACUAUAACUUACGUUCCAAAAAUGCUUUUGAAGUCAAACCAAAUCCAUUAGAAAGCUAACAGCUUUAUCUACAACUUUCGUGUUUACACCUAAGACCAAUUUCUUACCGAUCAAUACCAGUUGUUAUUUCAAACUCGGGUACAGAAGCUAAAGUUUCACUAAAAUUCACCGUUCAUCAUAAUUUAACCACUUUUUAAUAAUAACCCUUUUUCAUAUAAUCUCCUUAGACUCUCUUAGUUUUUUAGAAAUCAAACACCCAAUAUCACUAAUCAUCUAACAACAGUUAUUCUAACAUGAUUCAGGGGCUUCUUAUUCCAUUAUUAAUCAAAUUCAUAGUUAACCUAGUUUUCCCAAUUUUCAUCAAUUCUCAUACUAAAUCAAUUUUCAGAACUACAUGCUUAUAAUUAAAGUAUAAAUUCUCACCCUUACCUUAGGUUUGAUGAACGAACAAUCCUACAGCUGCUCUUGAUUCUCUAAGCCUCUUCUCUCUUGGUGCCUCUCCCUUUUCUCCAAAACCCUUUUUUUUUUUUUUGUUUUUUACGUGAAAGAGUUUUUCUCUUUUGUGACUUCUAUUUCUUAACCUCCCACUUCCUUAUUUAAUUCCUAAUAAUUCCACUUAAUACUAUUAUUUCCAUCUAACUCCAAUUCCAACCCCUUAACUCUACUUAUUCCCUUUACUACUCUUCUCCUUACAAUUAAU
This 1318-nucleotide long non-coding RNA is filed under the name Trifolium pratense (red clover). RNAcentral describes it as "long non-coding RNA (TPRA_LNC012251)". Lineage: Eukaryota; Viridiplantae; Streptophyta; Magnoliopsida; Fabales; Fabaceae. The record is from RNAcentral.